Molecule: ribosomal RNA, 468 nt
Filed under: uncultured bacterium
Lineage: Bacteria
Description: partial 16S ribosomal RNA
Rfam family: Bacterial small subunit ribosomal RNA
Source: RNAcentral
GACGAACGCUGGCGGCGUGCUUAACACAUGCAAGUCGAACGGAAAGGCCCUGCUUUUGUGGGGUGCUCGAGUGGCGAACGGGUGAGUAACACGUGAGUAACCUGCCCUUGACUUUGGGAUAACUUCAGGAAACUGGGGCUAAUACCGGAUAGGAGCUCCUGCUGCAUGGUGGGGGUUGGAAAGUUUCGGCGGUUGGGGAUGGACUCGCGGCUUAUCAGCUUGUUGGUGGGGUAGUGGCUUACCAAGGCUUUGACGGGUAGCCGGCCUGAGAGGGUGACCGGCCACAUUGGGACUGAGAUACGGACCAGACUCCUACGGGAGGCAGCAGUGGGGAAUAUUGCACAAUGGGCGGAAGCCUGAGGCAGAAACGCCGCGUGCGGGAUGACGGCCUUCGGGUUGUAAACCGCUUUCGCCUGUGACGAAGCGUGAGUGACGGUAAUGGGUAAAGAAGCACCGGCUAACUACGUG